Molecule: ribosomal RNA, 486 nt
Filed under: uncultured bacterium
Lineage: Bacteria
Description: SSU rRNA
Rfam family: Bacterial small subunit ribosomal RNA
Source: RNAcentral
AGGACGAACGCUGGCGGCGUGCUUAACACAUGCAAGUCGAACGGAUUCGUGGCACUUGUGUUGCGGGUUAGUGGCGAACGGGUGAGUAACACGUGAGUAACCUGCCCCAGACUCUGGGAUAACUCCGGGAAACCGGUGCUAAUACUGGAUAUGACAUCAAGCCGCAUGGUUAUGGUGUGGAAAGUUUUUCGGUCUGGGAUGGGCUCGCGGCCUAUCAGCUUGUUGGUGAGGUAGUGGCUCACCAAGGCGACGACGGGUAGCCGGCCUGAGAGGGCGAUCGGCCACACUGGGACUGAGACACGGCCCAGACUCCUACGGGAGGCAGCAGUGGGGAAUAUUGCACAAUGGGCGCAAGCCUGAUGCAGCGACGCCGCGUGAGGGAUGACGGCCUUCGGGUUGUAACCUCUUCAGCAGGGAGAAGCCUCGUUCGGGGUGACGGUACCUGCAGAGAAGCACCGGCUAACUACGUGCCAGCAGCCGCGGUAA